CACGUAGGGGGCGAAGCGUUGUCCGGAUUUAUUGGGCGUAAAGAGCUCGUAGGCGGUUCGGUAAGUUGGGUGUGAAACCUCCAGGCUCAACCUGGAGACGCCACCCGAUACUGCUGUGACUAGAGUCCGGUAGGGGAGCGUGGAAUUCCUGGAUGUAGCGGUGAAAUGCGCAGAUAUCAGGAGGAACACCCGGUGGCGAAGGCGGGUCUCUGGGCCGAUACUGACGCUGAGGAGCGAAAGCGUGGGGAGCGAA
This 253-nucleotide ribosomal RNA is filed under the name uncultured bacterium. Its description in RNAcentral is "partial 16S ribosomal RNA". It matches the Rfam family "Bacterial small subunit ribosomal RNA", at positions 524 to 772 of the family's 1533-position model. The record is from RNAcentral.